GAUGAACGCUGGCGGCGUGCCUAAUACAUGCAAGUCGAGCGAACAGACGAGGAGCUUGCUCCUCUGACGUUAGCGGCGGACGGGUGAGUAACACGUGGAUAACCUACCUAUAAGAUUGGGAUAACUUCGGGAAACCGGAGCUAAUACCGGAUAAUAUAUUGAACCGCAUGGUUCAAUAGUGAAAGACGGUUUUGCUGUCACUUAUAGAUGGAUCCGCGCCGCAUUAGCUAGUUGGUAAGGUAACGGCUUACCAAGGCGACGAUGCGUAGCCGACCUGAGAGGGUGAUCGGCCACACUGGAACUGAGACACGGUCCAGACUCCUACGGGAGGCAGCAGUAGGGAAUCUUCCGCAAUGGGCGAAAGCCUGACGGAGCAACGCCGCGUGAGUGAUGAAGGUCUUCGGAUCGUAAAACUCUGUUAUUAGGGAAGAACAAAUGUGUAAGUAACUAUGCACGUCUUGACGGUACCUAAUCAGAAAGCCAAGGCUAACUACGAG
This 497-nucleotide ribosomal RNA is filed under the name uncultured bacterium. Its description in RNAcentral is "partial 16S ribosomal RNA". It matches the Rfam family "Bacterial small subunit ribosomal RNA", at positions 28 to 507 of the family's 1533-position model. The record is from RNAcentral.